GACGAACGCUGGCGGCGUGCUUAACACAUGCAAGUCGAACGGAAAGGCCCUGCUUUUGUGGGGUGCUCGAGUGGCGAACGGGUGAGUAACACGUGAGUAACCUGCCCUUGACUUUGGGAUAACUUCAGGAAACUGGGGCUAAUACCGGAUAGGAGCUCCUGCUGCAUGGUGGGGGUUGGAAAGUUUCGGCGGUUGGGGAUGGACUCGCGGCUUAUCAGCUUGUUGGUGGGGUAGUGGCUUACCAAGGCUUUGACGGGUAGCCGGCCUGAGAGGGUGACCGGCCACAUUGGGACUGAGAUACGGCCCAGACUCCUACGGGAGGCAGCAGUGGGGAAUAUUGCACAAUGGGCGGAAGCCUGGUGCAGCAACGCCGCGUGCGGGAUGACGGCCUUCGGGUUGUAAACCGCUUUCGCCUGUGACGAAGCGUGAGUGACGGUAAUGGGUAAAGAAGCACCGGCUAACUACGUGCCAGCAGCCGCGGUGAUACGUAGGGUGCGAGCGUUGUCCGGAUUUAUUGGGCGUAAAGGGCUCGUAGGUGGUUGAUCGCGUCGGAAGUGUAAUCUUGGGGCUUAACCCUGAGCGUGCUUUCGAUACGGGUUGACUUGAGGAAGGUAGGGGAGAAUGGAAUUCCUGGUGGAGCGGUGGAAUGCGCGGAUAUCAGGAGGAACACCAGUGGCGAAGGCGGUUCUCUGGGCCUUUCCUGACGCUGAGGAGCGAAAGCGUGGGGAGCGAACAGGCUUAGAUACCCUGGUAGUCCACGCUGUAAACGGUGGGUACUAGGUGUGGGGUCCAUUCCACGGGUUCCGUGCCGUAGCUAACGCUUUAAGUACCCCGCCUGGGGAGUACGGCCGCAAGGCUAAAACUCAAAGGAAUUGACGGGGCCCCGCACAAGCGGCGGAGCAUGCGGAUUAAUUCGAUGCAACGCGUAGAACCUUACCUGGGUUUGACAUGGAUCGGGAGUGCUCAGAGAUGGGUGUGCCUCUUUUGGGGUCGGUUCACAGGUGGUGCAUGGCUGUCGUCAGCUCGUGUCGUGAGAUGUUGGGUUAAGUCCCGCAACGAGCGCAACCCUUGUUCACUGUUGCCAGCACGUUAUGGUGGGGACUCAGUGGAGACCGCCGGGGUCAACUCGGAGGAAGGUGGGGAUGACGUCAAGUCAUCAUGCCCCUUAUGUCCAGGGCUUCACGCAUGCUACAAUGGCUGGUACAGAGAGUGGCGAGCCUGUGAGGGUGAGCGAAUCUCGGAAAGCCGGUCUCAGUUCGGAUUGGGGUCUGCAACUCGACCUCAUGAAGUCGGAGUCGCUAGUAAUCGCAGAUCAGCAACGCUGCGGUGAAUACGUUCCCGGGGCU
This 1346-nucleotide ribosomal RNA is filed under the name uncultured bacterium. Its description in RNAcentral is "partial 16S ribosomal RNA". It matches the Rfam family "Bacterial small subunit ribosomal RNA", at positions 28 to 1381 of the family's 1533-position model. The record is from RNAcentral.